RNAcentral lists this transfer RNA (68 nucleotides) under bovine gut metagenome. It matches the Rfam family "tRNA". Rfam says of the family: Transfer RNA (tRNA) molecules are approximately 80 nucleotides in length. Their secondary structure includes four short double-helical elements and three loops (D, anti-codon, and T loops). The record is from RNAcentral.
CAGGUAUGGUUCAAUGGUAGAACAACCGCUUCCCAAGCCGUAGACGCGGGUUCGAUUCCCGUUACCUG